UUGAGUAUAAGUUUUUUUUUUUUAUUGUGUUAACUGGAGAUAAAAUUAAAAAAACAAAGAAACAGAGAGGGUGAGAAGUAGAAGAGAAACAACAUAAUAAAGGAAAAAGAAAACAUAAGAUACAAACACCUUUGAGCUAUUGGUAUUCUAAAUCUCUUUAAUAUUAAUAUUCUAUAUAUAUCAUUUCGUUUUGCUAUUACAUUCAAAUAAAAAAUAAAAAAUAAAAACUAUGUUCAUAGUCUUCACACUUUAUUUGACAUGCUUAUUGUUAUUUUUUUUUCCCUUAAAUAUUCAACGUUAGAAACGUUAAGUCCAAAACAAAUAAAAGAAGAAUAAAAAUAUCAUAGAAAAGUUAUGAGAAACUAAAAGGAAAACAAACAAGAAGUAAAACAAACCAAAAAAAGGAAGACGAGGUUUGAGUCGUUGCCUCCGUUGGAACAACGAACGACCAUCGUCACUACCGCAUGCCGAUGUCGUGUUGUACUUCCUUGCUACCCAUGCCUCUGUAGCCUUCUUUUCUUUCUUUUUCUCUCUUCUUUACAUCUGCUCUCCACCUCUCUCUUUCUAUAUAUAUAUUUU
This 579-nucleotide long non-coding RNA is filed under the name Cicer arietinum (chickpea). Its description in RNAcentral is "long non-coding RNA (CARI_LNC002045)". The record is from RNAcentral. Lineage: Eukaryota; Viridiplantae; Streptophyta; Magnoliopsida; Fabales; Fabaceae.